GGCUAUGUAGCUCAGUUGGUUAGAGCACACGCUUGAUAAGCGUGGGGUCACAAGUUCAAGUCUCGUCAUAGCCACCA
This 77-nucleotide transfer RNA is filed under the name Acinetobacter baumannii. RNAcentral's name for it is "tRNA-Ile(gat)". It matches the Rfam family "tRNA". From Rfam's summary of the family: Transfer RNA (tRNA) molecules are approximately 80 nucleotides in length. Their secondary structure includes four short double-helical elements and three loops (D, anti-codon, and T loops). The record is from RNAcentral. RNAcentral also lists the same sequence under 1 other name. Lineage: Bacteria; Pseudomonadati; Pseudomonadota; Gammaproteobacteria; Moraxellales; Moraxellaceae.